This 508-nucleotide long non-coding RNA is filed under the name Homo sapiens (human). Its description in RNAcentral is "non-protein coding lnc-HNRNPA2B1-15:9". Lineage: Eukaryota; Metazoa; Chordata; Mammalia; Primates; Hominidae. The record is from RNAcentral.
CCGCCCCUCAACCAACCCCCAGGCGGCAAGGCCCUCUCCACGCGCGCUCUCCAGCCUGGCGGGGCCCUGGAAGCCGGGACACGCGGAGGCCGGGAGGGUCAUCGGCGUUUAAGGCAGCCUCCCACACCAAGUGCACCGCCCGGAUCCCCUCUGCACGAGGGCUUUCUGCUUAUUGCUCUUUUCCCCAGCAGCCAGAAUCGUCACCGUAGCGCGGGAAGGGGCCUCGCGGGCCGUCUGCAGCAGGUGCGGCCGGGAGCCGCAGGCCCGCGCGGAUUCCUGCGGAGCUGUAUUUACUUUACAUCCAUGUGAACUGCUGUCAUCACUACUGUGUCCAAGCCCAGAGGAUGAACUGGAAAAGAAGAGAGGGGGAAAAUAAUAAAAAGAGGAAAUUGGUUUUCACAACACACUCAAAGCCUGAGUAACAGAGGAGAACUUUAAUUAUCUCCAGUCACAAAGAGAGACAGGAAAUUUGGACUUUUAAUUAGCCAUUUGGAGUGCAGUUGGGUAU